Molecule: long non-coding RNA, 267 nt
Filed under: Ictidomys tridecemlineatus (thirteen-lined ground squirrel)
Lineage: Eukaryota; Metazoa; Chordata; Mammalia; Rodentia; Sciuridae
Description: lncRNA (ENSSTOG00000031646.1)
Source: RNAcentral
AGAUUUUCAGCUGGGUCUGUCUGACUCCUAAGCUCUGGCUCUGAACCUGAAUGCUUUAUGGCCUCCUCCAACCUUGAAAAUAUGCAAAAUUCCCCAGGAAAGAGAACUCAAAAGAAGCAUUGCCAAAGACACAGCCCUGGGAAGCCGGGGGAGGAAGAGGAGGCUUUGGGGUGUCCUGAUUUCCCAAGACACCCUUUAGGAAGCACAAACCAUCUUUGGGUAAGGGCAAAAGGGUCUCCUUGUGGAUCCAGCCCCAAGAACGUCAGG